RNAcentral lists this ribosomal RNA (301 nucleotides) under uncultured bacterium. Its description in RNAcentral is "partial 16S ribosomal RNA". It matches the Rfam family "Bacterial small subunit ribosomal RNA", at positions 509 to 807 of the family's 1533-position model. The record is from RNAcentral.
CAGUCGCCACGGGAAUACGAAGGGUGCAAGCGUUACUCGGAAUUACUGGGCGUAAAGCGUGCGUAGGUGGUGGUUUAAGUCCGUUGUGAAAGCCCUGGGCUCAACCUGGGAAUUGCAGUGGAUACUGGGUCACUAGAGUGUGGUAGAGGAUAGUGGAAUUUCCGGUGUAGCAGUGAAAUGCGUAGAGAUCGGAAGGAACAUCUGUGGCGAAGGCGACCACCUGGACUGAUACUGACACUGAGGUGCGAAAGCGUGGGGAGCAAACAGGAUUAGAUACCCCUGUAGUCCCUGUCUCUUAUAC